AAGUCUCCUGAAGGAACGUUAAAGACGAUGACGUUGAUAGGCCGGGUGUGUAAGCGCAGCGAUGCGUUGAGCUAACCGGUACUAAUGAACCGUGAGGCUUAACCUUACAACGCCGAAG
Molecule: ribosomal RNA, 118 nt
Filed under: Klebsiella pneumoniae
Lineage: Bacteria; Pseudomonadati; Pseudomonadota; Gammaproteobacteria; Enterobacterales; Enterobacteriaceae
Also listed under: 3 other names
Description: partial 23S ribosomal RNA
Rfam family: Bacterial large subunit ribosomal RNA (bases 1-106)
Source: RNAcentral